Long non-coding RNA from Harpia harpyja (harpy eagle), 8204 nucleotides. RefSeq lists it as uncharacterized. The record is from RefSeq and is a predicted model, not a curated record. The transcript is spliced from 2 exons. NCBI's taxonomy places the organism in Eukaryota, Metazoa, Chordata, Aves, Accipitriformes, Accipitridae.
GCAUAUAAAUUUAACAUAACCAUGUGUUUCUGUGAGCCUGGAAGGCUUAUUUUUAGUGUCAUUAGGAAAUUUGGGGUGUUUGGCAAAAUCCUUGCAAUUAUUACUGAUCCUAACUACCUGGUUUUGUCUAGUAUUAAAUGGUGUUCGUCAGGACCCAUCGCUGCGCUGUUCUGGAGUCUUCUCCUUGAGGGUGACAAAGCUCUCAGCAGUGAUUGUGUUGUCCUUGCAAAAGCAAACCCACUGGAUUUAAUGGAGGUGUUUGAAUGAACAAACCAUUAAUGAUUUGAAUCAUAUAUGACUAUGGCUCCCUUCCUCCUAGCAGUGCGAGUGCCAUGGUCUCCAUUUACAGAGUAAUUCAGUUUUGCUUAUGACAAUGCAAAUGGCAUUAUUUUUUGGGUUUGUGGUUUUUUUGGUUUUUUUUUAAAAGCACUAAUUACAGUAAAUAGCUUAUUCUAAUGUACUAGGUGUAUUUCUUAUCUAUGAGCCUUAAAACUAGUGUGCUUGCCUUAUGAGUCAGACUAAGCUCUGCUGGCAUCUCGCUCAGCUCUCUGGGCAGCACUUGCCUGAGGCUGGACAUGUGUCAGUAUGAAGCAUCUUCAGGGGCAGAGGACAUCAACAGAAUUGCUGUGGAUUAGCUUUUCUCCUAGUUGGUGGUUUUUUUUCCUGUUUCUGCAUCAUGCCUGGUUCUCAAUAUUGUUUGUGUUGAGUAUCUGCUGUGGUCUAAUGUGGGGUAGUCAGCUGAUGGGUGACAGGAGAGGAGCAGCAGAAGGUGUGAAGGGAGGUCUGUACGUGCUCAGCCUGCACCAACGUUGCGAACGUAGCUACCAUCGGGUGGAUGAUAUAAUAAUUCUUUUCCAUCUGCUCCUAUCUAUAUUUGAAUCCACAGGAAAGCGUCCUUCUUGUAAGACACAUGAAUCUCUGAUUUCAAAAGCCGUCCCUAUUUCGGAAGUUCCUUUGGCAGGCUGGCUCUGGUUUCCCUGCCUGUGCUGAGCACUCGGCGCUGGGAGAUUCUUCAGUGGGGCUCAUCAUGCAGUGUAAUGAUAUGGACCCAAAAUAGCAGGGCGAUGUCACCUAGCAACUUGCCACUGUUGCAAAAGUCUUUGUUGGAGUGGAUCAAGGUGACACUUUGCUGCUAUUUUCAGACCCACACUUCCUGAUGGCUGUUGCCGCUUUAUUCCUCCGCUUUAUUUAUUUAUUCCUUUUGCUGACUCAUAGACCUGGAAAAUACUUCUUAGGUCACUAGAAUCCAAGAUUGUGCCUCCUGAUUUAUUUUGCUGCCUAUUUUCCAGUUUUACGUGGCACACAGCAACUUAAAAUGGACUAUGAGAGGCCAGCUGUGCUUCCUUAAUGAAGCUUUCUUGCUGUGUGAGGACUUUCUUCUCCGCUCUUUAUGUUAAAAUUAAUGGAGCUGCUCAAAACUUAAUGCUCUCUUUGCCGGGAUUGUUUCCGCAGCCGGGUGCAGCUAUGGUGUGAUGGCAAGCACUGAGCGGCUGUGCAGGUACUGCCGAGGCGCAGGGCAUGCACCUUACAUGGCUGGUGCCAGGAGGUGGCUGCGUGCCCUGGCACAGCCGCUGCCUCCAGUAAAUCCAGAUGUCACCAUUUCCUCUCCCAUGGAAUUCCUCUUUCCCUCUGAGUCUGUGAUCUUUUAGCACUGAAGAGCUGCCGUUCUAUAUCUAGGUAGCUUUUGCCAGUCCGUGGAAUGAGUAUACUCAAUGGCUAUAUUUAAUGGCUAUGUUAAAACUGUUGAAGUUGCAGUCGAGAGCUCAGAAAAAGCCGCAGUCCCAGGUUGCAGCUGCAGUUUGGACCAUCUGUGGCAGUGGGCUACAUGGUCGUUGAUGCUAUAUUCACCUGCUCUCGUUUCACUGCAACUCUUUAUUGCAGUCAAUGUUUGUUUAUUACAGGAGAUAGCUGUACAAUAAAUAGUUAUUUAGUAUUUCUUGCCUGAGUCUUAAUUUAAUGUGUGGCUCUUGCAAGAACUAUACCCUACCAGCCAAAGGCAGAAUUAUUCAUUUCCUCACAGAGCCACAGGAAAAAAAAACCUUGUGGGGAUGUCUUAGUUCUUACAAACUACUGUGGGUUUGGGUUUUUUUACAGUUCCUCUGUGUGACAAGUCAAUGCAUGUGGUCUGUUGGUAUUUAGUUCUUAAGUAAGUGAGGGUCACUUGUUCAGAGCACAUUUGUCACAGACUUCAGGGCUGCCAUUUGCUGGAUUUCUACAACUCAGACUCCAGGAUAUUGAGCUGUGUGUCCUGAAAAUGAGAAAUGAGGUGGGCAUGUGUAGGUAUCAUUUCUUUGACUAGUGCAGGGAUAUAUGUGAAUUGUAUAACAGAGAUUAUCUUUGAUUAUCUUUGCCCAAAGCUGUUGUUUGCCCUAAGAUAUGUUGUUUUCUGUUCUUGUUUCCAGGCCCAUUACCUUCUAGUUUCUGGAAAAAAUAAGGCAUAAUUCCUUCACCUACAAACCCCUUGUUCUACAGAGUCGUAUUAGCUCCAGGCUGGAGGUGUAGGCCAUCCUGAGUGUGGCAGGACCCGUACUGAGCAGCUGGCUUGUGUGGGGGGCGAUGGGCUAUGUGUGGUGAAGCUGUAAGCAGGGUGUGGGUGUCUCUGCAUCCUGGCCCUGCGUUCUUUAUUUUAGUGUUUCCGUGUGGUCUCCAAAUUAUUUUUGCUCUGUAACAUCUACUUUGAAAAGUCAAUGUUGGUGUCUCUGGUUACUUGUGUAAUUAUGGACCCCCACCAUUAUGGACCUCCUUCCUCCUGCCCCAGCACUGGGCACUGAAUGCCAGGGGACAUGGAUCACCUCCCAUGCCUUGCUCCUCCUGGGCUUCCCUGGUGGUGGUCAGCAUCAUAUUUGAUUCUGGGCUUUCUUACUUCAAAAAUGGAGUAAUUAAUCUGUUUUAGAGGCAUCCUGGGUUCCUCAUCCUUUCUCACUUCAACUCUGUUUCCCUCCUAGGAAUCUGGGUUUCUUGCUCAAAACACAAGCUUUCCAUUGCCCACCAAAGCAGUUAACCCCCUCUGAUCUUUUUCUGUUCCUCUUAAACGGAAGUUGCUGUUUCCAGGCUUUUCUUUCCUUCCCGCAUCUCUUUGCUGCAGUCCUGAGAGCCAGGGUUCAGAGCCUCUCGCCCAUCCGAGGGCACUGCAGCCCAGCUCUGGGCAGCAUCCCCGCUGCAGGGAGAGCUCCUGCUGCCCCAUCCAUCACCCAGACGGGUCAGCACAGUCCUUGUGGGUGUAUGUGUGUGUGUAGUGUGGGGUGUCAUCCAUCUCAGCUCCUGCAACAUGACUCAUCCAGUCCCAGCUGCGCUUUUCUUUCCUCCUGUGGGAAGAGGGAGGAGGACAUACACGAGUCUCUAUUUCUGCUAUGAAAAUUACACCCUUACGUUAGUCGCAGAAGAAGGAGUGUGGAGGGAAGGAGCUGAGCACCCAAGCAGAGGAGCCCAUCAGCCCCACCGAGGGGGGAAGAUCCAGUGCCCCAAAAAAAUGGAUUCCCACCAUGCAGCCCAACCUGAAGCCUCUUCCUCUCUCCCUUAACAUAUUUGAGUUUUAUAGAAACCCACUGCAAAAUCAGAGAAAGAUUUGCAUGAAUUUGGCCUCUUUGAAUGGAGAAGGGCAAGUUCGUCCAGCUGCUUUCUACGCGCCAGUGUGAGAAGUUUCCUGGAGGUGACCCUGUCCCAGCCCAAGCCCUUUGCAGGGCUGUCCUGGUCCUGCUAAGGCUUUUUGCUUUUCCUUUCAAACCAGGAGCAAAGCCAGUACGGCUCAGUGAUGUGCACCUGCGCUAUGUGCCGUUUCAGUACUUAGAGAGCAAAUUGCUUUCAAACCAUCUCUGGAGUUUUAGAGGGUCCUCUGUCAGACAUGCAGGCAGCGCUGCCUUGUGCUUCUUUGGAAACACUAUCUGGUGAGCUAUGUCUUGGUGUAUAUAUGGAGGAGUUUCGUAUAUCCAUGUGUACAUGCAUAUGUGUGAGUACAUAUAUAUGUUUUACUCCUGUAUAAUUUUAAGCAGCUGUUAACACAGUAAUGGGUGCAAUGGUUUGUACCAAUGCAGGAGAUGCACAGGGUUACUACAGCAGGAUCACAUCAGUGUUGCUGAGAUUCAAAUUCGUCAUGGAUCAGAACUUGAGACAUUAAAACAUCAUGUUUUUCUAACCAGUUGGAGCUUGGUUUUGUUACCUCCUCUUUUUCAAGGCCAGUCACUGCUCUUCAGCACCACUUAAAAAAACUUGUACUCCACUAACACUGACAUGUUUCGAUGGAAGUCCUUCCCAACCCGAUGAGUGGAGGCUGGAGGUGUGGGGAUGCUGUCGCAGGUAGGACCAGCUAGGGCAGGCUGAGUUGGCAGCAGCAUCCUCUCAGGGGGCUAGAGCUGUAUUUAGGGGUGUAAUCGCAUCACUGGUUUCUUGAGAAGCAGUUUGGAAAGUAGCCCAUUGCUAGGCUUGUCACCAGGGCAUUUUCUUCCAGACCCUGCUCUCAGCAGCAGCUGAACUAUUUUAGCUGAAAUUUUCUUCAAGGGUUCAGCACAGAAGAUUUAAGCCUGAACAGUUUCAAGUUUGACAAAGCUUCACGAAACUGAAGACGGAGCUUGUAAUGGGAAGUAUCAGCCUUAAGAAGGCAGGGUUUGGCCCUUGCUCCUCAAGGGGCAUUGAGUGGUGGGGUUGUGCUGCUCUUCUUCCCCUCUAAUGAGCAAUCCAGAGAAUAAAUAACAAAACUCAGUUUGCAGAGCACUGUGUGCUGCACAUCUGACUUAUCUGUAGUUAUUUUCUGAGGGCUAUUUAUUUGCAUAGCCAGUCUCUGUGCUCAGGUCCCAGGUGUCCUAGAGCUGGCUGCCUUGGGCAAUACUGCAGGAGCACAAAGCCUCCCUGAAAUUUGGGAAUUCAUCUGAUACCUGAUCAACCUCCACUUCUGUUAUUUAAGGAUGUUAUUUAAGAAACCAGAGGCAAGAAGAGAUCCCAGGGCUCUUGCAGACCCAGCCAUCUCCCUUUUCAUGCUAACAGGUCUCACACAGCUUUCCAGACAAAGCCUGGAGAGGGGCAAAGGCUGAUUCAAACCAGCUUUAUUCUCCCCCUUCCCGGGAGUGGAAUGAUUUCCCCAGGGAUGGUGUAGGCAAGAGCUGUGCCCGCAAGCAAAGGGAAGAUAAUGUCCCACGUCCAGGCUAAUGCCCAAACCUCCCUUUUCCCGAGUCAGUCCCAUCAGCUCCUCUGCUUCUCCAUCUUCUCACCUUCCUGCAGAGCCACCCUCUCGCUGCACAGCUCCACUUCUGCUACAAUGUGGAUUUUCUCCCUUAUUUUUGGCUUCCUCUCAGUUGAUGCAGAAAUGCAGCUGGGCCCCAUCAGCUCAGGGGAAGCUCUGACCUGGGAAAGGCUCCAGGUCUCUUAGUUUGCUGCGAUAGCUCAUUCCUUUCCUCUCUCCUUUGGGAAAACCAAUUAAAAAAAAAACAGUGAGGGAGAAGCAAGUGGAGAUGGGAACUGUUUGUGCCAGCUGUGAUCUCAGUGUCUCCCUGAUCCCAUCAUGGGAAAGGUGGCACAAAAAAGUUUUGCCCACAAAAAUGAGUCUCUGCUGAUGGUCAGAGCUGGGCAGGAGGCUUUUGCACUCAACUUUGUCCAGGCUGUUUGUAUCUCCAUUCCUUCCUCCUCCUCCCGGCCCAGAAGCCCCAGACGGCUGCUGCGCUGUGUGCCAUCGCUGGGCUCUACUGUGCUUUGCCAUGUGCUGCGGCUGCUGUUGCAAGUGUGUGAUUCUGCACUGGAGCAGGCUGCAGAGCCAACGUUACCUACCUGUGCUUAAUAUUGCUGUUUAAAAAUAAUUCAUCUUGAUAUUCAAGAUUUGGGCACUGCAGGGAAAGGAAGCAGAGAGUGCUGUACCCGAGGGGCCCUGGCAGGUACGGUGCUGGUUCCCAAAGCCUUGCCAGCGCACACUGGCUCUCCUUCCUGGGCGAGCUGUCCUUUCUGCGGCUCUGCUUGUCCCCUCCCGCGCUGAGCUGCCUUUCGGUGUCCUGCCCGCCUGGCUCUUACCCUGCGGCUGCCUUGCCUGGACAGCAAUCGUCUCAAAUCCCAAAUCCUCCUCCACCUCUGCUCCAGCCCCUUUCCUUCCAGGUCCCCUGACUGGUCACCCUACGUCCCCAGCAGUGUCCCACCACCCCAGUGAGUCUCAUCCUCGAGCCUUCUCCAGUCCAGCCAGCAUCGCCAGUCCAUGGGCUCCCAGUGAGGGUCCCCCAAGCCCUGUGCCAGGGGACAAAGCUGGCAGAGGGUGACACAGGCAGAAAGAGCAACUCAGAAGGAGGCGAUGGUGUUGGCACUGUGCAGGGAGGAGGUGAAGAGGCUCUAUGGAGCGGCUGGAAGUCCCGCUGCCCGUUCCUUCGGGGUUUCGCUGCCCGUGGGGCUGCCUAAAGUGGUAUUUGCGGCAGCAUGGCCCUGGGGAGAACCGGGGGCGGUGGGCAGCCAGGCUAGCUCCCCUGCCCCGGCACUGCCUGGCCAGGGACUGGACUGGUGAAAACACGCAAACUGCAAAAGCACAUCCCAGGAGCAAUCCCAGCUGGGCUGCAGGCAGCUGCCUGCUCACAGCCCGAAACGGUUAACAGGCAGCGAGGCCAAGCCGGUCCUCCCACCGGCAUGAGAUCACUGCUGCCACCGCCAAUCCUUGAUCCAAUCCUCGCUCCGUCUGGCAGCAAAAGAGCCGGGAGCCAAAGCUGGGAGCGAGAGCAGCGGCAGCCGAGAUCCCGGCCGGUCUGGUCUGCACCGAGGCACCCCGAGCCACCGGGGGAAGCUGACCAUGUAGGAUCUGGCCUCUUCCCUCCAUCACCAGCACAGCGGUGGGUCGUGGCGGGACGGCGACCGGCGUCCAACCCAGCCACGCUUUGCGCUGGUCGUUCCUGGGUUUUCUCGCCAACAUGAUGGGCUGCAAGUCCAACUCGCUCACUUGCCUGCAGGGAGGAAAACCAGGGCUGCCGCUGGCCACGGCCACCGACUCCACCGCUACGCUCAACAAGCUGGCCCUGGCCACCGGCGGGACUGAGAAAUCCUGGUACCGCUGCAUCUUCCCCUUCGGCAUCGUCUCCGUGGUCAUUGGCGUAGCAGCGACGUGCAUCACCUUCACCAUCAAUGGCCCACAAAUGGACAUCGCUAAGGUGGUCUCGGUGGCCACCUUGAUCUUCGGGGUGGGCCUGCUGGUGGCUGCCUACGUGUGCUGGCGGGCCAAGCGGGAGAGGCAGCGGAAGAGGCAGCGCCAGGAGCCCGUCUCCUUAGAGCAGGGAGCCCUAUGACCCAGGCUGGGGGCAGAGGCUCAGCUCCACCCGGAGCCCCCUGCUUACACACCCCCCUCCGCCCAGCGCCCAGUGGUAGAGGGGUGAUGGCACCAGCUUUGUCGCACCCGAGGAGGUCCAGACCCUGCCCGAGGUCAGCUUGCUGUCAUUCUCCACCCUGCAGAGCCACGCCACCGCCCGCGCCCGGCCAUCCCUGCUCCUGUCGCACCUGCCUGCCUGGGACCGGCACGGAAGGAGCCCGGAGAAUGGCCCAAGGAGCACGUCACCAUGCACGGACCCGCUGCCCGUCCCCCCCACGGCGCUGCUCUGUGCUGGGGGAUGCCGAGACAGCCCAGCACCCCCUGCUCGGCGUCAGAAGAAACCAGUGUCACUUCUGUCCUCUUGUGUUUUUUCCCUGUCGUGAGGACCCUUACGGCUCAGGACAAAAGGAGUUUCGAAAGAAACUCGCUUGGUGCGGAGAGAUGUGGGGCAGGCUCGGCGUGGGGCUGCAGGCAGGGGAGGAGGGCUGGCAGGAGGCAGCAAACUCCGACGCGUGAGCGUGGCUGGCUUGGCACGCGAGCCCCUGGGGACAGCGGGGGUGACAAGGGGAGGUCGGGAGCUGAGCGCAGCGGUGGGGGGUGACGGACCUUGGCACCUGCCGGGGGGACGCGGGGAGCUGCGGGGCUCAGGCUGGGCAGCCCCCGUGGGUGGCAGCUGUUGGGUGUUUGCUGUUCACCGUGCAGCACGGCGUGGCAAGUGGAGGAGCAAACCGGGCUCUUUCUGUCACUGUGUGUCCCGGGGCACAGGUCCCCUCUGCGGGGUGUGGGGGGGUCCGUCUGCCUGGGAUGCCCGGGGAGCAGGGGCUCAUGCUGUGAGCUCGCAGCGGCAUCCCCCAGCUGUGGGAGUCUGAAAGCAAUUCUGUUGCUGGAGAAGGAGCUGGAGUUGGAUUAAAAAGAAGCAAAUACAUUUUUACCACUUUUUUGGAAA